Rhodamnia argentea is the source of this 277-nucleotide long non-coding RNA. RefSeq lists it as uncharacterized. The record is from RefSeq and is a predicted model, not a curated record. The transcript has 3 exons. Lineage: Eukaryota; Viridiplantae; Streptophyta; Magnoliopsida; Myrtales; Myrtaceae.
AUUCUUUAUCGGAGGAAACAGAUUGUCCGGUACAAUUCCGUCUUCAUUGCUCAAUCUCUCCUCUCGAUCCAAGUUUGACGCUUUAGAAAACCAGAUACAAGGGAGUCUUCCUGCAGACUUAGGCUUGACGCUCCCAAAUCUUCAAUUAUUCAGCAUUGCCACGAACCAACUUGAGGGACCGAUUCCUCCCUCGGUGUCCAAUUGGGCAAAGCUAGAGGUUAUUCAAUUCGGAAAGAACAAGCUUUCGGGGAAAGUGCCUUCUUUUGGAAAUAUGCCU